Molecule: ribosomal RNA, 510 nt
Filed under: Acaulospora sp. Acau12
Lineage: Eukaryota; Fungi; Glomeromycota; Glomeromycetes; Diversisporales; Acaulosporaceae
Description: SSU rRNA
Rfam family: Eukaryotic small subunit ribosomal RNA
Source: RNAcentral
AGCAGCCGCGGUAAUUCCAGCUCCAAUAGCGUAUAUUAAAGUUGUUGCAGUUAAAAAGCUCGUAGUUGAAUUUCGGGGUCUGUCCAUUGGUCGGGCUUUACGGUCCGUACUGGUGUGAUGGGUUCCUACCUUCUGAAUAACCAGCAUGCCAUUUAGUUGGUGCGCCGGGGAAGCAGAGCUAUUACCUUGAAAAAAUUAGAGUGCUUAAAGCAGGCUAGUGCUUGAAUAGAUUAGCAUGGAAUAAUAAAAUAGGACGGCAUGGUUCUAUUUUGUUGGUUUCUAGGAUCACCGUAAUGAUUAAUAGGGAUAGUUGGGGGCAUUAGUAUUCAAUUGUCAGAGGUGAAAUUCUUGGAUUUAUUGAAGACUAACUUCUGCGAAAGCAUUUGCCAAGGAUGUUUUCAUUAAUCAAGAACGAAAGUUAGGGGAUCGAAGACGAUCAGAUACCGUCGUAGUCUUAACCAUAAACUAUGCCGACUAGGGAUCGGACGAUGUUAAUUUUUUAAUGACUCG